UAGGUGCAGCGUCGGUUGAUUGCAUCGCGGGGGUAGAGCUACUGGAUGCUUGCGGGCCCGUGUCGGGUACCAAUAGCAGCCAAACUCCGAAUACCGUGGAUGUGUAUUCCGGCAGUGAGUCGGCGGGGGAUAAGCUCCGUCGUCGAGAGGGAGACAGCCCAGAUCGUCGUCUAAGGUCCCGAAGCGUGUGCUAAGUGGGAAAGGAUGUGGAGUCGCAUAGACAGCCAGGAGGUUGGCUCAGAAGCAGCCAUCCUUGAAAGAGUGCGUAACAGCUCACUGGUCUAGUGGUUCCGCGCCGACAAUGUAGCGGGGCUCAAGCACACCACCGAAGACGCGGCAGCGGCCUUUGCGGCCGUUGGGGAGGAGAGCGUCCCGCGUGGGGCGAAGCGGCCGGGGAACCGUGCCGUGGACCGCGCGGGAGUGAGAAUGCAGACAUGAGUAGCGAGAGACGGGUGAGGAUCCCGUCCGCUGGAUGACCAAGGGUUCCGGGGCCACGUUCGUCGUCCCCGGGUGAGUCGGGUCCUAAGGCGAGGCCGACAGGCGUAGUCGAAUGGAUGAACGGGUGGAUAUUCCCGUACCGGCGGCGUACCGUAAGAGCCGAACGGAUGAGUACUAACCUCCGGUCGCGUGGCGUCGUUCCCUUCGGGGUUCGGGGUCCGCGGUCGUUGGGAGCGUAGUCCUGGUAGGCUAGCGCACAGGGGUGACACGGAAUGGGAGCCGGCCGCGGAGGUGGUUUUCCGUGGUCAAGCACGCAGCCCGUCCCAUAGGCAAAUCCGUGGGACGCAUAGGGUGAGGUGUGAUGAUGGGCGUCCUUUGGACGCGAUAUCCGGUGGUCCAGGCCGUCGAGAAAAGCCUCGGCGCGAGGGGCGUCGCCGCCCGUACCCCAAACCGACACUGGUGGUCAGGUAGAGAAUACCAAAGCGAUCGAGCGAAUCCUGGUCAAGGAACUCGGCAAAUCACUCCCGUUCCUUCGGUUUAAGGGAGACCCCCGAUGGUGAACACACUUGCUGUGGGAGCUUUUGGGGGUGGCACAGACCAGGGGGUAGCGACUGUUUACCAAAAACACAGGUGCAUGCGAAGGCGCAAGCCGCUGUAUAUGCACUGACGCCUGCCCGGUGCCGGAAGGUUAAGAGGAUCCGUCAGCCUUCGGGUGAAGCGGUGAAUUCAAGCCCCGGUAAACGGCGGUGGUAACUAUAACCAUCCUAAGGUAGCGAAAUUCCUUGUCGGGUAAGUUCCGACCUGCACGAAUGGCGUAACGACUUCCCCACUGUCUCGACCAGGAGCUCGGCGAAAUUGCAGUACGAGUAAAGAUGCUCGUUAAGCGCAGAAGGACGAAAAGACCCCGGGACCUUUACUAUACCUUGGUAUUGGCGUUAGGCGCGGAUUGUGUAGCAUAGGCGGGAGGCUUCGAAGCAUGGGCGCCAGCCCGUGUGGAGCCGCAAGGUGAAAUACCGCUCUGUUCUCGUUUGACGUCUCACCUCGAACAGUCAUCCUGUUCAGGGACAGUGCCUGGCGGGUAGUUUAACUGGGGCGGUUGCCUCCCAAAGAGUAACGGAGGCGCUCAAAGGUCCGCUCAGCCCGGUUGGCAAUCGGGUUUCGAGUGUAAUCGCACAAGCGGGCUUGACUGCGAGAACGACGGUUCGGGCAGGGACGAAAGUCGGAGAUAGUGAUCCGGUGCCGGCGCACGGGCGCGGCAUCGCUCAACGGAUAAAAGGUACUCCGGGGAUAACAGGCUGAUCAUUC
This 1743-nucleotide ribosomal RNA is filed under the name human gut metagenome. RNAcentral describes it as "bacterial LSU rRNA". It matches the Rfam family "Bacterial large subunit ribosomal RNA", at positions 871 to 2491 of the family's 2925-position model. The record is from RNAcentral.